This 301-nucleotide ribosomal RNA is filed under the name uncultured bacterium. RNAcentral describes it as "partial 16S ribosomal RNA". It matches the Rfam family "Bacterial small subunit ribosomal RNA", at positions 509 to 809 of the family's 1533-position model. The record is from RNAcentral.
CAGCAGCCGCGGUAAUACGAAGGGUGCAAGCGUUAAUCGGAAUUACUGGGCGUAAAGCGUGCGUAGGCGGUGAGUUAAGUCUGCUGUGAAAUCCCCGGGCUCAACCUGGGAAUUGCAGUGGAUACGGGGUCACUAGAGUGUGGUAGAGGAUAGUGGAAUUUCCGGUGUAGCAGUGAAAUGCGUAGAGAUCGGAAGGAACAUCUGUGGCGAAGGCGACUAUCUGGGCCAACACUGACACUGAGGCACGAAAGCGUGGGGAGCAAACAGGAUUAGAUACCCGCGUAGUCCCUGUCUCUUAUAA